RNAcentral lists this ribosomal RNA (233 nucleotides) under uncultured Lactobacillus sp. RNAcentral's name for it is "partial 16S ribosomal RNA". It matches the Rfam family "Bacterial small subunit ribosomal RNA", at positions 129 to 354 of the family's 1533-position model. Lineage: Bacteria; Bacillati; Bacillota; Bacilli; Lactobacillales; Lactobacillaceae. The record is from RNAcentral.
CCCAAGAGAUCGGGAUAACACCUGGAAACAGAUGCUAAUACCGGAUGACAACAGAUGAUGCCUAUCAACUGUUUAAAAGAUGGUUCUGCUAUCACUCUUGGAUGGACCUGCGGUGCAUUAGCUAGUUGGUAGGGUAACGGCCUACCAAGGCGAUGAUGCAUAGCCGAGUUGAGAGACUGAUCGGCCACAUUGGGACUGAGACACGGCCCAAACUCCUACGGGAGGCAGCAGGC